Long non-coding RNA from Centropristis striata (black sea bass), 525 nucleotides. RefSeq lists it as uncharacterized. The record is from RefSeq and is a predicted model, not a curated record. The transcript is spliced from 3 exons. Lineage: Eukaryota; Metazoa; Chordata; Actinopteri; Perciformes; Serranidae.
GGAUCCUACAGCUAAGCACUGCUUCUAACUGAACAUCUGAAAUGGCAUUGAAUGGUAAAACUGCAGUAGUGACUGGAGCAGCGAUGGGGAUAGGAAAAGCAAUAACGGAAAUACUCCUGAAAAACGGUGCCAAGGUAGUCCUCUUUGAUGUGAAUGAAACUGCAGGAAAGAAUUUAAAAGAAGCCCUCGAUAAAGAAUGUGGACAGGAGAGGACUUUGUUCCUGAACUGUAAUGUUGAAUCAGAGGAACAGUUUAAAGGUCAGGGCACGGCCUUGUUCCGGGCAGCAAGAUUGUUGCCCAGGUGGCAUGACGUGUCCUUGGCUUGUAUUGAUUAAGACUGGCGAAUCAGCGGAUCAAGAAGGCGGAACUUCCUGGAAGAAAUCUACCAGCAUGUUUAGUAAACCAUUGUUAGUAUUUAAUGGGUUCAGGGAAAUUAGACGGGGUUCAGACUUCAUGAACUGAAACCCGUCUGUGUGUAUCAGGGACAUGGAGUUUUGGACCCAGAGCUCUGUAACUGCACAUUUC